Molecule: ribosomal RNA, 464 nt
Filed under: Vreelandella stevensii
Lineage: Bacteria; Pseudomonadati; Pseudomonadota; Gammaproteobacteria; Oceanospirillales; Halomonadaceae
Description: partial 16S ribosomal RNA
Rfam family: Bacterial small subunit ribosomal RNA
Source: RNAcentral
CCUACGGGUGGCAGCAGUGGGGAAUAUUGGACAAUGGGCGAAAGCCUGAUCCAGCCAUGCCGCGUGUGUGAAGAAGGCCUUCGGGUUGUAAAGCACUUUCAGUGGGGAAGAAAGCCUUGGGGCUAAUACCCUCGAGGAAGGACAUCACCCACAGAAGAAGCACCGGCUAACUCCGUGCCAGCAGCCGCGGUAAUACGGAGGGUGCGAGCGUUAAUCGGAAUUACUGGGCGUAAAGCGCGCGUAGGCGGUCUGAUAAGCCGGUUGUGAAAGCCCCGGGCUCAACCUGGGAACGGCAUCCGGAACUGUUAGGCUAGAGUGCAGGAGAGGAAGGUAGAAUUCCCGGUGUAGCGGUGAAAUGCGUAGAGAUCGGGAGGAAUACCAGUGGCGAAGGCGGCCUUCUGGACUGACACUGACGCUGAGGUGCGAAAGCGUGGGUAGCAAACAGGAUUAGAUACCCUAUAGUC